CUGGAUCAGAUUGAUGUGGAACUCAGG
This 27-nucleotide non-coding RNA is filed under the name Bombyx mori (domestic silkworm). The record is from RNAcentral. Lineage: Eukaryota; Metazoa; Arthropoda; Insecta; Lepidoptera; Bombycidae.